Molecule: long non-coding RNA, 4284 nt
Organism: Mercenaria mercenaria
Lineage: Eukaryota; Metazoa; Mollusca; Bivalvia; Venerida; Veneridae
Exons: 3
Source: RefSeq, a predicted model, not a curated record
UGGAAUCUUCCAAUAACGCGCAGUUUCUGCGGCAUUUCAAAGUUAGCCACUUGUUAGAUAAUUAUAACAUAACGAUAGACUUGUGUAUGAUGCGAGUCACAAUCGGUCGACUUCUAGAGGAGAUAUUAUGUUAAAUAUACAUCUGUACAUUCCAUGGUUAAAAGAACGUGUAAUUUGGAAAUAUGUCGCGGAUUGAUCAGAAGAAUUUGCUCAUUGUAAUAUGGAUAUUUGCAACAAUAAAAUCAGUUGAGUGCCUUAUGUGUGUCCGGUGUUCGUCUCUGUUUCAACGCCAAUGCAUCAGUGGCCAUCUGGCGCCAAGUAAUUGCUCAAUAACAACAAAAUACUGUACAAAAUACGUGGGAACUGUAAAACUGACUGGAGAUAAGUUUGUGUCUAGAGACUGUUCAGACGAAAUGGAAAAGCCUGGAUGUCGCGAAACGGUGAUCCACGACAAGGAAGUAAAAAUUUGCUACUCAGCAUGCCAGACAGAUGGCUGCAACACAGGGUCAUUCAGCUCAUCAAAUUAUUUGAUUGUAUAUGUCAUAUCAGCACUUUGUCUAGCAUACAAUUCCCUUUAGUAAUGAUAGUUUUUAUGGCUCAUUUAAACAUUGUUUUUGUUGAAUUUUAUCUGUGCGUGUAAAUAAGUUUAAGUACCUGUUUGAGCAAUGAAUUUUAUUUUAAUUUUUAUAUUGAAUGUUAUCUGUCAUGACGUGUACAUAACUAUAUUACGUUCACAUUAUGCAUUGUAUAUGCACUAGCAGCCGUUGCUUUGAAUGGUACUGCCCCUUUCCGAUAACACUGUAAAAUAUGAACACGUUGAAACAAAUGGCAAACUGUGUCAAUGAAUUUAUGUGCUUGUCUUUUCGCAUUUUGUUUUCAUUUGAAAUGUUAUUUACAACAGUUGCUUGAAUGUUUUAUAUAUAACAGCUUCAGUCAAAAUAGAAGCUUAGUUAACUGUAGUAUAUAAACUACCAGCAGAGUACUGAUGAUUAAGUCUGUUGGCAGCUUCUGUCAAAACAGAGGUUUAGUAAAUAGUAGUAUAUACACUACCAGUAGAUUUUUGUCUGUUUACGAGAUAGAAGUUGCAAGUUUCUCCGUAGGUAAUAUAUUUCCCUUCGCACAUUCUUGUCAAUCAUCAAAAUAACACGACUGUGUUAUACUACUGCAUAGUACUGAAAGCGUAAGUUUGUGUCACUAUCAGUUCCGUGAACAGUAAAUUUAAAAUACACCAUACGAUUUCUUAAUGUUGGUCGUACUACCUUUGGGUCGCCCCCUUCACCAUAUCAAAUGGUUUCAGUGCUUGCCCGUUUAAAUCUAAAGUACAAGACGUUAUACUUUAAUGUGUGUGCCACAGUUUGAGUUUUUCCUGCUUUACAUAGUCGGUGUUAAUUUGUCUGCUACAUACACCUAAUGUCUUGUCAGAUACACAAGCCAUCAACUGCCGUGAGCUUUCAUUAAUAAAAGCGUUUUUAUAGGAAUUAUGUACAUAUAAGUUUUGUGUAGUUUGUCUAUUUUUGUAAAAUGACUUCAGCGCGCUCACCCUUUCACUUAUCAUCAUGUUGUUUAAAUGGACUCGGACUUGUUAGUAUGUUUGCUGUCCCUUUUGGGAUCAUGGAUUACAUUAUCUUUACUACAAUAAAAUUCCACUUAAGCAGGUGCUAGGGGGCGUGAGGGAUGUUGCACAUUUCAUUACCUCUUGAAGAGCUCAGACAAACCUACUCUUAUUUUUAAGAGUAUUCUGUCCUAGAGUAAAUGCGACGUUAUUUAUACACACAAACUAUAUUACAAUCAAAAUCUUGGCAUUGGUGUUUGAUUGGUAAAUAUAAUUUAGCCGAAUAGAAGAUCUACAGAACCAAACAAACCGAUGCUGUUACUUCGGUUUUAUUCAGUCUUAUUCAGUUUGUUCACAAGAGAUUACGUGUAGUGCAAAACAAACAUUCAUAAUCUUCUGCAGAACCAAACAUCUUUGGUUUUAUUCAGUUUUAUUCAGUCUGUUGCAAAAGAUAUACCCUAUCUUCUUUGUCAUUUAUAGAACACUUUUGCAUAAAAAUAUGCCAUACUGUUUUUCACAGUUUACCAUGAACAGUACUACAACUAUCAAGUAAAUUCUUAACACUAUUUCUCUUUGAAACAAGAUAAUGUUUUUUCGAAAAGACUGUUCCAUAAUUACUUAUGUGUGUUUACGAAAACAGGUAAUGUAUUUGUACAUCAGCUAUAACUUGGCUAAUACCAUGUUUAAAACUGUCGUCCUUUACUGGCUUUUUUACUUGGAUUAAGACCCUCUGUCUAAAUUUUAAAUACUUUUUAAUGUGUGUCAGUAAGGUUGUAGAUUUUUAAUACAAUCGGUAUAGAAGCAUACCAAUUUUUGUGAAAUACAAUUAUUAAACAUAGAUAGUUUUAAAAUGUAGUACUGAACAUAUGCAUUCGUAAAUAGUAAAUGUAUUAGUUGAUCGCUUAGCCAAGAAAAAUUACUAGGCUUUAUAGGCUUUGUAUGGUAUCUUUAUAGAAGUAGAUGCUUUGUAAAUGCUAUUUUCUUUCGUUUUAGAUUUAAGCACUAUAUCUUGUUUAUUGUAUUAUAUAGUGAUGAAACUUACAAACACGAAUGACUUAUUGCCUUAUUAUAAUUGUGACUUAAUGUAUAUGUGCUUUACGAUUGAUCAUGUUUGAUCAUGUUAACUAUAAAAUGGAGUAGAUAUGUUAAGAACAACUAUAAGCUUUUGGCUGUUUGACUUAAUUUGCCUAAUAUUCUAUAGUAACCAAAUAAAAGUUUCAAUAGCCAGAUGUGAAGGAACCAAGACGUCAGCUAGUUUUGACUGCAAGUUUCAUACAGUGGAAUAUAGUUCUAAAGACCCGGAAUACUUAGCAUACAACGUGUCGCCAAUGGUUUGUGAUCUUCUAGCGAAGCAAAGAUGUACUUCCAAAAUUGUCAAUAUACAUUUACUGAUCAAAUAGAAUAAGCAAGUGUGGUGCUAAACUGCGGUAAACUGUUAACAUGAUCGACAGUUUUGUUUCCGAAUGAUGACAAUUUAGUCGAACGAUUACAAAUAAUUAUCAGUUUAAGCAUCAAUUAAAUUUCAGUGUGACAACGGUGAUAUAGUGUGCUAUACUCGGCUUGACUUGAUUUCGUGGCAAUAACGUGCCUGUUCACUAGAGCCCAUCUGAUGAGAUUAGCGAAUAUCUAAAGUGAAAUAUGGGAAAUGGAUAUAUUUGAUUUUAGCAGUCAUUCAUUAAAUAAUACGAUGUGAAAUCUGUUAAAAGGAGUAAUCAAAUUUGUACUCCCAAACAACGGUUUUUUGAUUAUACAAGCGUAGUAAUUUCUUUUCUGAGCCUAAAAUUUAAUAUAAUGGCUCUUAGGGAGUGUUAUAUAGACUAAUGAGAAAAAAAUCAAUCUUUCUCUUCGUUACAUAAGGUAGAAUAUUUAGAAUGCAUGAUUUUAGUUAAAGUAAGCUUUUGUGCCGUAGCCAUCAUUCAAAGAAUAUCAUUAUCCGCUUAUUUUAGACUUGGUCUGUUUAUAACGGAGGAUGUUACGAAUGUGGGCAACAGUCAUUACAAAGAUGCAUUCAGUAAGUUGCACAGUAAUUGCUUCUAACUAGUGUUCAGUUAAGUAUUUAUGACUCGAAUUAAAUUGUAUCGACAUAGAAUUGAUGCUUGCGAGUUAAGUACGGUAUCUGUACGAUACAUUGAUUUGUUUUCAUAUGCACACUGUGCAGGAACGCGGUCGAAUAUUGGUUAUUAGAGAAGGUUUUUUCCGAUAUUUUACUCUUUGGCCCAUUCUUUGCUUAAAAAAGAUUUUUUUUUUUAUUUUAAGCAUAAGAAAAUACAAUUUAUAGGCUGUAUUUUUAGAAUAUCUUGAUUACUUUUGAAUUUAUCGCUUUAAAACGAUCGUGAUAAGGGUUUUUAUAUUGUGAUUCCAGCCAUAUAGGACACUAAACUGUUGAUGUAUUGUUGUAGAUUUUUAAGUUUAGCAUAUAAACAAUGUUUCCGUAUACAAUUCCAAAACAUAGAAAAAAUAUUUUUAAAAAAAUAUGUGGAGCUUUGCAUCGGUAAAAGUACGUAUCGACCAUGGAGUGUUGAUAUUAUUCAAAUUACCAUAAAAAAUGAUUAAACAUCCCACCAUAGAGACCCGUUUAGAGUGAUAUACAUAACUUAGAUCUGAAAUCUGCAAAUUAAAGCCACAAAAGAUACUGUUACGAAUUAUGUAGAACAAACAUUAAGUACAGUACUGUAGUUCAUUUGAUGAUGUGUAACUUGAAAUGUGCAAAAGAAUAAAAUAUGAGAAACUUC